Long non-coding RNA from Musa acuminata subsp. malaccensis (wild Malaysian banana), 607 nucleotides. RefSeq lists it as uncharacterized. The record is from RefSeq and is a predicted model, not a curated record. NCBI's taxonomy places the organism in Eukaryota, Viridiplantae, Streptophyta, Magnoliopsida, Zingiberales, Musaceae.
AGGGGCGCUCGGCCUUAUUAAACCUAACCCCUUUCUCUCACAGGGGCAAUCGAUCCCUGACCCGUGUCGCCGGACAGGUCUCCGUUCUCCUCCCCCGCCAGUGCCGGAAAGUCCAUCUCCGCGACCGCUGCCUGGAAACGCUCUUUGAAAAACGGAUUUCACCUUUCCAGGUGCCGGAUUCUGGGGUUCAGGUACCUCCUUGGAGUUAGUGUCGAGGGCCAUCUUUUCUAGCUUCGUUUCCUCCAAGCAAACAGGAAAAAGAAGACGAUCUAUCUUUGAACUGAUUAAGGUGGAUGUUUCAACUGGUAUUUGUGUUGAUUAUUUGACAGAGGAGUUUGUUCGUAUGAUGAUGUAAACCAACUAUUAAUGAAGGCAGUGGAGCAAGUCUUGGUAGGAUCCAUCAGGUGAGAAAUGGCACUUGAAGCAAGCUGCUGAAAUUAUGCAGCUAAAUUGUUUAUGCUCGACUUCCACCUUGAGUUUUGUACUGAGUUUAAUGUUUGUUAUGUUCCAUAUGAUUGUGGAUGUGGUAGGUCCAACAAUAUAAACAUGAACAAGAAUGCAAUGUAAUUGUUGCUCAAACCCUUGAGGGUAAAAUCUCUCAGAUUGA